This 200-nucleotide unclassified non-coding RNA is filed under the name Lophiostoma sp. RNAcentral describes it as "partial internal transcribed spacer 2". Lineage: Eukaryota; Fungi; Ascomycota; Dothideomycetes; Pleosporales; Lophiostomataceae. The record is from RNAcentral.
UUAAGUUCAGCGGGUAUCCCUACCUGAUCCGAGGUCAAAAUUGUGAAGAUAGCUUCUGGGAGCCAAUACGACGGGCCCGAGUUCGCGUUUCUGCUGCGCUCGAAGCCAAUACACAGGCCGCCAAUGCUUUUGAGGCGAGUCCGCGCCCGAGGCGGGACAGGCGCCCAACACAAGCAGAGCUUGAGGGUUUAGAUGACGCU